Molecule: ribosomal RNA, 290 nt
Filed under: uncultured bacterium
Lineage: Bacteria
Description: partial 16S ribosomal RNA
Rfam family: Bacterial small subunit ribosomal RNA
Source: RNAcentral
GUGGAUUAGAUACCCUGGUAGUCCACGCCGUAAACGAUGAUAACUAGCUGUCCGGGUUCAUGGAACUUGGGUGGCGCAGCUAACGCAUUAAGUUAUCCGCCUGGGGAGUACGGUCGCAAGAUUAAAACUCAAAGGAAUUGACGGGGGCCUGCACAAGCGGUGGAGCAUGUGGUUUAAUUCGAAGCAACGCGCAGAACCUUACCAGCCUUUGACAUCCUAGGACGGCUUCUGGAGACAGAUUCCUUCCCUUCGGGGACCUAGUGACAGGUGCUGCAUGGCCGUCGCCAGCU